Molecule: ribosomal RNA, 433 nt
Filed under: uncultured bacterium
Lineage: Bacteria
Description: partial 16S ribosomal RNA
Rfam family: Bacterial small subunit ribosomal RNA
Source: RNAcentral
AACGAACGCUGGCGGCAUGCCUAACACAUGCAAGUCGAACGAGACCUUCGGGUUUAGUGGCGCACGGGUGCGUAACGCGUGGGAACCUGCCCUUAGGUUCGGAAUAACUCCCCGAAAGGGGUGCUAAUACCGGAUAAUGUCUUCGGACCAAAGAUUUAUCGCCUUUGGAUGGGCCCGCGUUGGAUUAGCUAGUUGGUAGGGUAAAAGCCUACCAAGGCGACGAUCCAUAGCUGGUUUGAGAGGAUGAUCAGCCACACUGGGACUGAGACACGGCCCAGACUCCUACGGGAGGCAGCAGUGGGGAAUAUUGGACAAUGGGCUAAAGCCUGAACCAGCAAUGCCGCGUGAGUGAUGAAGGCCUUAGGGUUGUAAAGCUCUUUUACCCGGGAUGAUAAUGACAGUACCGGGAGAAUAAGCUCCGGCUAACUCCGUG